UGGGGAAUCUUGCGCAAUGGGCGAAAGCCUGACGCAGCCAUGCCGCGUGAAUGAUGAAGGUCUUAGGAUUGUAAAAUUCUUUUCACCGGGGACGAUAAUGACGGUACCCGGAGAAGAAGCCCCGGCUAACUUCGUGCCAGCAGCCGCGGUAAUACGAAGGGGGCUAGCGUUGCUCGGAAUUACUGGGCGUAAAGGGAGCGUAGGCGGAUAGUUCAGUCAGAGGUGAAAGCCCAGGGCUCAACCUUGGAACUGCCUUUGAUACUGGCUAUCUUGAGUUUGGGAGAGGUGUGUGGAACUCCGAGUGUAGAGGUGAAAUUCGUAGAUAUUCGGAAGAACACCAGUGGCGAAGGCGACACACUGGCCCAAUACUGACGCUGAGGCUCGAAAGCGUGGGGAGCAAACAGGAUUAGAUACCCAAGUAGUCCCUGAGCGGGCUGGCAAGGCGCAU
RNAcentral lists this ribosomal RNA (448 nucleotides) under uncultured bacterium. Its description in RNAcentral is "bacterial SSU rRNA". It matches the Rfam family "Bacterial small subunit ribosomal RNA", at positions 355 to 825 of the family's 1533-position model. The record is from RNAcentral.